RNAcentral lists this ribosomal RNA (460 nucleotides) under uncultured bacterium. RNAcentral's name for it is "partial 16S ribosomal RNA". It matches the Rfam family "Bacterial small subunit ribosomal RNA", at positions 338 to 795 of the family's 1533-position model. The record is from RNAcentral.
CCUACGGGUGGCAGCAGUGAGGAAUAUUGGUCAAUGGGCGGGAGCCUGAACCAGCCAAGUCGCGUGAGGGACGACGGUCCUAUGGAUUGUAAACCUCUUUUGCCGGGGAACAAAGGCGCCCACGGGUGGGCGGAUGAGUGUACCCGCAGAAAAAGCAUCGGCUAACUCCGUGCCAGCAGCCGCGGUAAUACGUAGGGGGCAAGCGUUAUCCGGAUUUACUGGGGGGAAAGGGAGCGCAGACGGCUGUGCAAGUCUGGAGUGAAAGGCGGGGGCCAAACCCCCGGACUGCUCUGGAAACUGGAAAGCUGGAGUGGAGGAGAGGUAAGCGGAAUUCCUGGUGUAGCGGUGAAAUGCGUAGAUAUUAGGAGGAACACCAGUGGCGAAGGCAGCUUACUGGACUGCAACUGACGUUGAGGCUCGAAAGCGUGGGGAGCAAACAGGAUUAGAUACCCUUGUAGUC